AUGUGCGGUCUUCCUAGGCAACACACACGCAGUCUCCUUUCUGUCAUAAACUAUAUACCUCAGCACCCUCAAGGAGAGCCAUGUGGCACACAUACAUGCCUGAGAAAUUCUGCUGCUGUUGCCAUCAUUGAUUGCAUUGUUUACGGUCAAUUAGCGCUGUACAUAAAAUGUGCCCGUUCCCUCUUGCUGGGCAGAUGGAUGCACCCAACUGCACGUUUUACUUCUAAAUACGAGCCAAUGAAUCUGCCCCCAGUCUCUAGCUCACGUUGUCAAGCUCAGCCUGAAGCCCGACAUGUACACCAGAAUUCCGUUCGCCACGUUUUACAACAAUGUAUAGAAGACAGGAAGAGAAAUAUUGACCUGAUUCAGCACAGAUCAAUCUUGGGCAGCUGUUGUUUUUUAUACAGCUUAGUGCCGAUAGGCAUACAAGGAGAUCAAUACAGGUACAAGCAUUGUGUCCAGCUGUACUAUAUAUGGUACCCAAAUCCAAUCUUUACACAAUAG
RNAcentral lists this ribosomal RNA (504 nucleotides) under Triticum aestivum (bread wheat). RNAcentral describes it as "partial small subunit ribosomal RNA". Lineage: Eukaryota; Viridiplantae; Streptophyta; Magnoliopsida; Poales; Poaceae. The record is from RNAcentral.